RNAcentral lists this ribosomal RNA (426 nucleotides) under uncultured bacterium. Its description in RNAcentral is "bacterial SSU rRNA". It matches the Rfam family "Bacterial small subunit ribosomal RNA", at positions 355 to 771 of the family's 1533-position model. The record is from RNAcentral.
UGGGGAAUAUUGGACAAUGGGGGCAACCCUGAUCCAGCAAUGCCGCGUGUGUGAAGAAGGCCUGCGGGUUGUAAAGCACUUUUGUGGGGAAAGAGGGGCUAGCGCGCUAAUACCGUGUUUGGUCUGACGGUACCCCACGAAUAAGCACCGGCUAACUCCGUGCCAGCAGCCGCGGUAAUACGGAGGGUGCGAGCGUUAAUCGGAAUUACUGGGCGUAAAGCGCGCGUAGGCGGCUGAUCAAGUCCGAUGUGAAAGCCCCGGGCUCAACCCGGGAAUUGCGUUGGAGACUGGUUGGCUAGAGUGCGACAGAGGGUGGUGGAAUUCCCGGUGUAGCGGUGAAAUGCGUAGAUAUCGGGAGGAACAUCGAUGGCGAAGGCAGCCACCUGGGUCGACACUGACGCUGAGGUGCGAAAGCGUGGGGAGCAA